RNAcentral lists this ribosomal RNA (487 nucleotides) under uncultured bacterium. Its description in RNAcentral is "partial 16S ribosomal RNA". It matches the Rfam family "Bacterial small subunit ribosomal RNA", at positions 30 to 507 of the family's 1533-position model. The record is from RNAcentral.
AUUGAACGCUGGCGGCAGGCCUAACACAUGCAAGUCGAACGGUAACAGGAAGAAGCUUGCUUCUUUGCUGACGAGUGGCGGACGGGUGAGUAAUGUCUGGGAAACUGCCUGAUGGAGGGGGAUAACUACUGGAAACGGUAGCUAAUACCGCAUAACGUCGCAAGACCAAAAAGGGGGACCUUCGGGCCUCUUGCCAUCGGAUGUGCCCAGAUGGGAUUAGCUAGUAGGUGGGGUAACGGCUCACCUAGGCGACGAUCCCUAGCUGGUCUGAGAGGAUGACCAGCCACACUGGAACUGAGACACGGUCCAGACUCCUACGGGAGGCAGCAGUGGGGAAUAUUGCACAAUGGGCGCAAGCCUGAUGCAGCCAUGCCGCGUGUAUGAAGGCCUUCGGGUUGUAAAGUACUUUCAGCGGGGAGGAAGGGAGUAAAGUUAAUACCUUUGCUCAUUGACGUUACCCGCAGAAGAAGCACCGGCUAACUCCGUG